GAUGAACGCUAGCUACAGGCUUAACACAUGCAAGUCGCGGGGCAGCAUGGGGGUUGCUUGCAAUACCCGAUGGCGACCGGCGCACGGGUGAGUAACGCGUAUCCAACCUGCCCUUCACCACGGGAUAACCCGGCGAAAGUCGGACUAAUACCGUAUGUUGUCCAUUGACGGCAUCCGAUUUGGACGAAAGGUUUGGCGGUGAAGGAUGGGGAUGCGUCCGAUUAGCUGGACGGCGGGGUGACGGCCCACCGUGGCGACGAUCGGUAGGGGUUCUGAGAGGAAGGUCCCCCACACUGGAACUGAGACACGGUCCAGACUCCUACGGGAGGCAGCAGUGAGGAAGAUUGGUCAAUGGGCGUAAGCCUGAACCAGCCAAGUAGCGUGCAGGAUGACGGCCCUAUGGGCCGUAAACUGCUUUUAUGCGGGGAUAAAGUGGCCCACGUGUGGGUUUUUGCAGGUACCGCAUGAAUAAGGACCGGCUAAUUCCGUG
Molecule: ribosomal RNA, 490 nt
Filed under: uncultured bacterium
Lineage: Bacteria
Description: partial 16S ribosomal RNA
Rfam family: Bacterial small subunit ribosomal RNA
Source: RNAcentral